GACGAACGCUGGCGGCGUGCCUAAUACAUGCAAGUAGAACGCUGAAGGAGGAGCUUGCUUCUCUGGAUGAGUUGCGAACGGGUGAGUAACGCGUAGGUAACCUGCCUGGUAGCGGGGGAUAACUAUUGGAAACGAUAGCUAAUACCGCAUAAGAGUAGAUGUCGCAUGACAUUUGCUUAAAAGGUGCAAUUGCAUCACUACCAGAUGGACCUGCGUUGUAUUAGCUAGUUGGUGAGGUAACGGCUCACCAAGGCAACGAUACAUAGCCGACCUGAGAGGGGGGUCGGCCACACUGGGACUGAGAAACGGCCCAGACUCCUACGGGAGGCCGCAGUAGGGAAUCUUCGGCAAUGGACGGAAGUCUGACCGAGCAACGCCGCGUGAGGGAAGAAGGUUUUCGGAUCGUAAAGCUCUGUUGUAAGAGAAGAACGAGUGUGAGAGUGGAAAGUUCACACUGUGACGGUAUCUUACCAGAAAGAGACGGCUAACUACGUG
RNAcentral lists this ribosomal RNA (495 nucleotides) under uncultured bacterium. Its description in RNAcentral is "partial 16S ribosomal RNA". It matches the Rfam family "Bacterial small subunit ribosomal RNA", at positions 28 to 507 of the family's 1533-position model. The record is from RNAcentral.